Molecule: long non-coding RNA, 1056 nt
Filed under: Strongylocentrotus purpuratus (purple sea urchin)
Lineage: Eukaryota; Metazoa; Echinodermata; Echinoidea; Camarodonta; Strongylocentrotidae
Description: uncharacterized LOC115926688
Source: RNAcentral
AGACGGAAAGCAGCACGCGCGGAAACCAUGCAGACGAAUGGGAUUAGGCUCCGCCUCUUUUGGAUCAUUUGAAGACAAAAUAAGCACCCGAGGCGGCUUUCUGAUUGGAUAAGAGCCUCAUGAAUAUGUAUUUUAUCGAUAGUAUCGUUUAAGAAACCGGAUAAAUAUAUUUGACCUCAUUGCGUCCCUUUAAUUAUGCAGAUUUAUGCACAACGCUACUACACUCGCACAAACUGAGAAGAGUUAGUUCAUUGAGAAUGGAUUGAAACUGAUGAAGAGCUUGAAGGAGUUAACUGAUGAGUAGACAUUACAACAUUUCUUAUAUUUGCAAGAUGAAGCUGAAAGUCACAUGCAGGAUGAUGCUUCUCUACAGUGGAUGAUGAAGGCAUGCUGAUUACAAACCCAGGAGAGGAACAAAGAACAGAUAUUGGCAGAAUCACUAUAUCUAGAGAUGCGGGCCUACUACACUUCAAACGAGCAAGUGUGCUAAUAUACAAUACUUUGGUUAUCGUUACAGCCCUUUCUUCUGAAAACUAGGCUACAACUUUAUUGAUGAAUGCAAGAGACAUCUACAUUGGAGUACGUCUUGAAGAUGCCACCCUCAUAUAAUGUAAGAGGACAGGAGAGAUGGGUUUAAACUUGAAUAUUUACAUGAUAUUUAUUUAUUAUUUGUAUUAUAUAUUUGUAGAAUACCACAUUCAAUAAAGCUAAUGAAUUUAUCAUCAUGUCAACUUUCAAAUGAUUAAAGAUAACUAUUCAUCAAUGAAUAAACAUUAACAUUUUAACAAUGUCAACUACCAUCUUAUGGGAGGACUGGGCCGAAAGAUUCUCCUUGAAAUUUGAGUGAUAAAGAUCUACCAGUCUAUAUCAAAGAUUGAAUUAAUCAAUGAUAUUUUAAUUAUAAUUAUACAUGUUGAAAUUCAUUUACCUCUAUGGACUUCUGUAUUUUAGAGGAUUUGUAGAGUAUUACAUUAUUGCAGUAUAAUGCUGCUUCAAGUAUUGUAUGUAAGAAGGUUUUAAAGUCAACCCUCUAAAUGCAUUAAAUAUAGAAAGACA